Xenia sp. Carnegie-2017 is the source of this 652-nucleotide long non-coding RNA. RefSeq lists it as uncharacterized. NCBI's taxonomy places the organism in Eukaryota, Metazoa, Cnidaria, Anthozoa, Malacalcyonacea, Xeniidae. The transcript has 2 exons. The record is from RefSeq and is a predicted model, not a curated record.
UUUUCUUAUUGUAUUUAUUAUCAUCAACAUUUGAUCUAUUUUAAUUAGCAUUCUACAGGGUGUAUAUAAAAACGACGUUUGGCAAUUAAACUACUGUAAAAUUUCAAAACCCAAUCACUGUGCUAACCUCACUAGUGCAUUACAUUUUCAAUGGAGGAAAAUCUUUUGUGCUUGAAUCAACGUAGCUAACAAUGUUCCAUGCACCUGUGGGCUUGACGUAGUGACAGACAUUGAAAUUAUACAAAGGUCUUCAAUGGUAAAUUAAGGCUAACCAACUAAUUUUGCACACAUCAAAGGAAUGAACUGGAUAGAAAAAUAUUAUUAGAAUCGCGGGAAAGAUCGCCAAAAAGUCAUAUGACGUAUUGAUCAAAAUUGGUCACGUGUCAAGUCGUAUAAACAUUCGUCAGCAAGAGCUGGGUGACGCGGGAUAUGUAAAUUGAUCAAAUCGUGCUGAGAUAGCACAACAUUUAAUAGCAUAGUAGGUUUCGUGUGAUGUAUUUAAUAUACGAUUGUUUUCAUUUCAAGUUAAAUAUUAUGUUUUAACUUGUUAAAACCCAGUAUGAUGUACUAUUAUAUAGUAGCAAAUACUGACAAAUUAUAUCUGUAUAUAACACAUACAAUAAAGAGUCCUUGAAGUUGAUGCAUCAGGAAA